Molecule: ribosomal RNA, 253 nt
Filed under: uncultured bacterium
Lineage: Bacteria
Description: partial 16S ribosomal RNA
Rfam family: Bacterial small subunit ribosomal RNA
Source: RNAcentral
UACGGAGGAGGCAAGCGUUAUCCGGAAUUAUUGGGCGUAAAGCGUCCGUAGGUGGGUGAGGAAGUCUGCUGUUAAAGAGUGAGGCUUAACCUCAUAAGGGCAGUGGAAACUCUUCGUCUAGAGUGCGACAGGGGCAAGGGGAAUUCCUAGUGUAGCGGUGAAAUGCGUAGAGAUUAGGAAGAACACCGGUGGCGAAAGCGCCUUGCUGGGUCUGCACUGACACUGAGGGACGAAGGCUAGGGGAGCGAAAGGG